CAAAACCAAUAGCUUCACAUACUCCUCAAUAGUGAGAAAAAUUCUUACCAAAGCCAUAUAUGUAAUCAUACAUGCUAAAAGCUUCUACACAUACACUGCUUGUUAUUGCUUUGAGUUUGGUCAAGUAUUUUUGACCCUCAUUGAGAAAUUUAUCAUGCUCCCAAGAUCAAAGAUCACAUACACACCACCAAAAAUAUGUUAUGCUCCUACAGUAGAAGUAAGCAAAAACAUGCCUUUCAUGUCCACCAAAUAAAUACUACAAUGUUUCUAAGAUGUGAUCUCUCUCUAAUGUUCUUGCAAAAGAAAUAUGGGCUAUGCAAAGGUAUUGAAAAAAUAAAAAGAAAAAUGGAUACAUGAAGGUCCAAGUAUAGAAAAAUGAAAAUUAUGAGAACAUGAAGGUGUUGACACCGUUUUUGGGCACGUGUCUAGGAUGGCAGGAUAAGGUGGCAGUACGAUGUUUACAAAGUGGGUUGCCGAUGAGGAUGGUUGCCGAUGAGGGAGAAGUUGAACGUGACUAAGUCCACAGGCAGUAAUAUUGUGUCGAUGGCUAGAUAAGAAAGUCUGCCGAUGACUAUGGCAAAGGGUCUGCCGAUGAUGCAAAGAGGG
RNAcentral lists this long non-coding RNA (606 nucleotides) under Sorghum bicolor (sorghum). RNAcentral's name for it is "long non-coding RNA (SBIC_LNC009590)". Lineage: Eukaryota; Viridiplantae; Streptophyta; Magnoliopsida; Poales; Poaceae. The record is from RNAcentral.